Molecule: ribosomal RNA, 253 nt
Filed under: uncultured bacterium
Lineage: Bacteria
Description: partial 16S ribosomal RNA
Rfam family: Bacterial small subunit ribosomal RNA
Source: RNAcentral
UACGGAGGGGGCUAGCGUUGUUCGGAAUUACUGGGCGUAAAGCGCACGUAGGCGGCUUUGUAAGUUAGAGGUGAAAGCCCCGGGCUUAACCCUGGAAUUGCCUUUAAGACUGCAUCGCUAGAAUCGUGGAGAGGUGAGUGGAAUUCCGAGUGUAGAGGUGAAAUUCGUAGAUAUUCGGAAGAACACCAGUGGCGAAGGCGACUCACUGGACACGUAUUGACGCUGAGGUGCGAAAGCGUGGGGAGCAAACAGG